CUGUACAAACCGCUCUGGGCCUAAAGCCUAAAACGAAAACCGGAUGAGGAAGGAACUGACAGCUUGCCCACCGCGUGUACAAACGCCCAGCAUCCUGAGACACGUGUCAAGGCGAGAGUCAGCCAUCUUUCACCGGCACUGCAACGGAGAGGCGACGGACUUCCGCCGUCAGCGGAACUAAAGCCGAUGAAGAAAGAAACUCAGACAGAGCCUUCUUCACGGUUAGCCAAAUCGCUUCCGGAC
This 243-nucleotide long non-coding RNA is filed under the name Brassica rapa (field mustard). RNAcentral describes it as "long non-coding RNA (BRAP_LNC002313)". Lineage: Eukaryota; Viridiplantae; Streptophyta; Magnoliopsida; Brassicales; Brassicaceae. The record is from RNAcentral.